CUUGCUCCUGGUGGCGAGUGGCGAACGGGUGAGUAAUAUAUCGGAACGUGCCCUAGAGUGGGGGAUAACUAGUCGAUAGAUUAGCUAAUACCGCAUACGAUCUAAGGAUGAAAGUGGGGGAUCGCAAGACCUCAUGCUCGUAGAGCGGCCGAUAUCUGAUUAGCUAGUUGGUGAGGUAAAGGCUCACCAAGGCGACGAUCAGUAGCUGGUCUGAGAGGACGACCAGCCACACUGGAACUGAGACACGGUCCAGACUCCUACGGGAGGCAGCAGUGGGGAAUUUUGGACAAUGGGCGCAAGCCUGAUCCAGCAAUGCCGCGUGAGUGAAGAAGGCCUUCGGGUUGUAAAGCUCUUUUGUCAGGGAAGAAACGGGUGAGGCUAAUAUCCUUGCCUAAUGACGGUACCUGAAGAAUAAGCACCGGCUAACUACGUGCCAGCAGCCGCGGUAAUACGUAGGGUGCAAGCGUUAAUCGGAAUUACUGGGCGUAAAGCGUGCGCAGGCGGUUGUGCAAGACAGAUGUGAAAUCCCCGGGCUCAACCUGGGAAUUGCAUUUGUGACUGCACGGCUAGAGUGUGUCAGAGGGGGGUAGAAUUCCACGUGUAGCAGUGAAAUGCGUAGAUAUGUGGAGGAAUACCGAUGGCGAAGGCAGCCCCCUGGGAUAACACUGACGCUCAUGCACGAAAGCGUGGGGAGCAAACAGGAUUAGAUACCCUGGUAGUCCACGCCCUAAACGAUGUCUACUAGUUGUCGGGUCUUAAUUGACUUGGUAACGCAGCUAACGCGUGAAGUAGACCGCCUGGGGAGUACGGUCGCAAGAUUAAAACUCAAAGGAAUUGACGGGGACCCGCACAAGCGGUGGAUGAUGUGGAUUAAUU
RNAcentral lists this ribosomal RNA (876 nucleotides) under uncultured bacterium. RNAcentral's name for it is "bacterial SSU rRNA". It matches the Rfam family "Bacterial small subunit ribosomal RNA", at positions 79 to 951 of the family's 1533-position model. The record is from RNAcentral.